This 1011-nucleotide long non-coding RNA is filed under the name Ursus thibetanus thibetanus. RNAcentral's name for it is "lncRNA (ENSUTTG00000022710.1)". The record is from RNAcentral. Lineage: Eukaryota; Metazoa; Chordata; Mammalia; Carnivora; Ursidae.
GCCCGGCUCUGCAAGUUGGGGCCCGCGACUGCCUCCCGCCCGGGAAGCACGUGAACUUGGAGAAAGUCGCGGGGCGCGCCGGCCCGGACCUCCGCGGCAGGGCGUGGGCGCCCCCAGCCCGAGCGCUUUCGUUUUCGUCCCGGACAAAGGUCCCUCGAGGCGCUAGUCGCGGACGCGGAGACCGGGUUCUGCCGGCCGCUCCUCGGAGAGGUCCGGUGGUUCCAUAUGGCCAAGUCGGAGUCAGGAGAGGAGGAGUGGCGCGGCGCGGGACCGGGGGAGUGGGGCCUGGCCGUGCGCGUCGCCCGGCCGUCUCCGUCCCGGAGCCGUCCCGCCCUGCGAAGAGUUGCGGGAGAUGGCACCGCGCUGCACUCUGCGGUUUACACGCGUGGAGGAGAGAAGCGUUUGGGACCCGGACUCAGACCCAUGGCCCAGGGUCUGUGCCGUGUGGGCACGAGAGCGCGGCGCUGGCUGCGUCCGGGCGCGUUCCUCCGCCAAGGGCAGGGCAGUCGACCUGCGUGUCCCGGGUCACGAUCGGGUUCCGGGCGACUCCUGAGGGUGAACAUGACUCAUCCUGGCGCAUCCCCAAGGAGGCAGGACCCAUCGUGGCCUUCAGGAGACCCUCCAGGACCGCAUAGCCCAGGACUCUCGCCUUCUUCCUGCCUCCUCGUCCUGCAGGCGACCCCUAAAAGUCACGUGAUUCUGCCUUCCUCAGGCCAAGAAGCGGUGCUGAUCUGGGGCCUUCUGUCCGUGGUCGGCCUUCCUCACCGUGAAGAGUCUGGAUGCAGGAGGAGAGCUCAGCCCUGUCCCGCUCUGCACCGUGAGGAUUCUUCUGUCCCUGGGGCUCACCGUCCAGUGCACCUGCUACCCUUGGGCUCACCUUGCCUUGAGGGCCCUUUGGGGCCAGCAAUCCUGGAGGUAGCCCCUUCUCUCUGCCCAGCCGUGAACCAGCCCUCGCGUGCGGUCCUAACGCACCCAGGCCACCUGUCAUUGACCUGCGAUGCCGCACGGUGA